Helicoverpa armigera (cotton bollworm) is the source of this 727-nucleotide long non-coding RNA. RefSeq lists it as uncharacterized. The transcript has 3 exons. NCBI's taxonomy places the organism in Eukaryota, Metazoa, Arthropoda, Insecta, Lepidoptera, Noctuidae. The record is from RefSeq and is a predicted model, not a curated record.
GUCCUGACACUCGCUGAAGUGGGGUGUAAAUGAAGAAACUUCAAACAGUUUUAUAGUUGAAAACUUUAUGAAAUUAUACAAAAAUUUUCCUACUUUCUAUCGUUUUUUGGCCACGUGAUUGGAAUGUGGAAGUUAUUAGGCGAUAGUUUGCCGUGUUCCUGUGGUGGAUUAAUUGCGCCUUACCUGAGGCGCGGCAAGGGUGAUGCCACUGAAAGAGUUCCUCGACGCUGAUCGAUCGACGAGCGCAGAUUGAAAGGAGAGACGUGAAAGAUCUCGGAGCCGAAGUCGCAGCAUCUCCUGGAAGCAAAGAAAGAAAAAAAGUCGUCAAUAUACAAAACAAUAAAGCAACACCAUUUAAGUGAAAACAAGGGAAGGGUAAAUAAAACCUAUAGGCAGAACGCAUUAAGGUAUUCGGGCAAGACGCCAUUGUUGUCAUAUCGUGGAUAAACUAUGACAUUAAUCAAUGGAAGACAACAAUAGUACCGCUCACCUCAAACCGAACUCAUCUACCCAGCGUACCUUGAACCUCCUCUUCUUAAUACGGUGUACUGAGUUCUAUUACUCUAGCAGGUCUUAAUAUUUUGGUUGAGCAUAUCGAGUGAAUAUAUCUACAUAAUGUGGGCAACAACACAACACUAGAUAACGGUUAUUGUGACGACAAUUCGAUUCUACCCACGUGGUUACUGGAAGAUUAGAAUUAGUAUAAAUCCUUAUGUACUCGAUAUGU